Molecule: long non-coding RNA, 321 nt
Filed under: Setaria viridis
Lineage: Eukaryota; Viridiplantae; Streptophyta; Magnoliopsida; Poales; Poaceae
Description: long non-coding RNA (SVIR_LNC005378)
Source: RNAcentral
GGGAAGAUGACGGGAAAGAACGAAGGGGUAUGCCCCAUAACCAGUGGUAGGUGGGUAAUUUUGAGGGAAAACUCCCCUUCACAGCCGGUGGAAGCAAGGGAAGAGUUGUUGUGGAAAAUGAACUGGUCAAAACCUACUUUUGUGAUAGAACCUGGUCUGUAGCCCAUCCCUUUGGUUUGGCUUUUUGCUUUUUUGGAAGCGAAAGUAGUUUUGGAAGGACAACCAAAGGGACCCUUAGCCUGUUACAUUUAAGCACGUAAUCCCUGCUUAGUUGUUGCUCAUAUCACCGAGAGCAGAUCUCAUGCAAACAUAAAGGCGUUA